This is a long non-coding RNA of Bombyx mori (domestic silkworm), 4898 nucleotides long. RefSeq lists it as uncharacterized. The transcript has 2 exons. The record is from RefSeq and is a predicted model, not a curated record. NCBI's taxonomy places the organism in Eukaryota, Metazoa, Arthropoda, Insecta, Lepidoptera, Bombycidae.
GCAGGAUAUGUUUGUUUAGCACGUCAUCACACCUUUCUUGCUUAAAAUAGAAGUAUUUUCUUGAACAAUUGAUUGUUCCUUUUUUUAGUAACGAUGGCAAUGGCAUGGCCUCCGAAGAUUUUUAAUUUUGUUGUAAAAGGUUCGAUAGGAUUUGAGGCUACCACUUGACAGAAUUCAAGUCGUCUGCAUCUGGCGCGAAUUUGUGGUAAUGUUCAAACAAAAAGAUUGUCGGGAUGAUGCAUAUACCUCACAUCCCUUACAGAAUCAUUCGUCCAUGGGGAUUCGUGACUCUUCAACGCUGCGCUUUCUAUUGCAGUUUACUGCACAAAAGCCUUUUUUUGGACCGAUUCACCCAGCCAUGUGCUCGAUACAUAUAAAAGCGGCUACGGUAUAAAGCGCUCAUAGUUACCGGCAUGCGAACUAUGAAUAGGGGUGAUCACGCCCACGCACCGCGUCGUUCUAUUCUCGUGCGCAAAAUCAAUUCACUUGUUUAAACUCAAUCUUCAAUAACAAACAACAUCUGAAACAUGUUGGAAACGAACAAAAUACCGUUGGUGUCUGUCAUUUGUUACUAGACGAGCUUGUAUCGAGUCAAGUGUGCCAUGUGCCUCUCAAUCUGAAUAUACAUAUUAGAUUCGAGACUGUCUCCGUAUUACAUUGUAAUUUUUCCUCGAGGUUGUACUAAUACACAUAAUGUUCACGGGCACUCAAGGUUUGCUUUUAGGUUAAUAGCUAAGACUACGUUUUUAUUUAUUUAUUUCCCUAACGUACAGACGAGCAUACGGCCCACCUGAUGGUGAGUGCUUACCGUCGCCCAUGGACUUCAGCAUUGCCAGGGGCAGGGCCAAGCCGCUGCCUAUUAUUAUACUCUCCACAAGCCUCGUUUGAAGAAGGACAUGUCAUAGCGCUCGGGAAAAAUCCUGGAGGGGAGUUCAUUCCAAAGCCGGAUGCAACCUGUAAUAAUAUGUACGAAUUCUACUAAGCACUUAAAACUAGAUGGACUGUGUGCAUGUGUGCGCAUUUACGACAAAAAUAUACUGUUUGAAAUGCGGAUCAAUACAAAAAGUAUUAUAAGAGAAGCUUUGUAAAUACGUACACUUUUAUAUGUCGACUACUCGUUUGGCAUUUUUGUUCUUGACAGUACCGCUACAUUCUAUUCAAGUAGAACUCUACGAUUAAGAAAAUAUCAUGUAGAGCUCUUAAUCAAAUCCACCGUAAGAGUCCUUAAGAGAUUCCAUUCUGUAACUCUGCGGAUUGAUGUAAAUGUAUUAAUAACAUUUUUAAAUUUGAGCUUCAUUUAUGACCUCAAAGCCAACGAGCAUACUUCCCAUUUGAUUGAUAGCGGUCAUCGCUGCCUACAGCAAAAUACUUUAAAAAAAAUUCUUUUCACUUUUUGCCGAAUAUCGUAGAAGCCAGGACGUGGCUAACUGCGUGCGUCACUGCAUUCAAUAUCCUACAAUAUUAGCAGAAAAUAAAGCAGGCUAACCGCUACAUGCAAUAACAGCAAUACACGGUAAAGAUGCUAACAACGUCAGCACUCGUAAAUACACCUCAUAAUGUUCCGUUCAAAAUUACUACUAAAUAGCUCUUGCCUCUAGACCUUUUAGAAAAUAUAACCUACCAUAUGUUCCCUUUGGAUCUGAGUGUUCAUGAAUAAGAAAUGAAGUCCAUCAACUCGGAUAUGUUUGGAUGUACGACAAAAAGAACAAUAAUACCCAAUAACAUAUAAAACUGUUUGCCCAGAAUAUUUUUUACGACGAAAACUCACUAAAAACUCGCAGGACACACCGCGCGGUUAGGAGUUUGCUUCCUUGAGAUUCAAAACAAAACAUCAUAUCUCGUGACCCCACACUUCAAUUACUCAGUUUAAAGUAUCGCGCGAGAAACGCCUGAUAUGGAGCCGUCACCUAAGGCUAGAUUUGCUAAGCGAUCAUGUCACUGAUCCCAGAUCCCCAUUCCCUGGAAAUCAAUCAAAAUGAGCUUACCAUUUAUGAGCUACUAAAAUACUUCCUCGACCUUACUACAGACAUUACGGAAACUUUUUGUCAUUUAUGACCUCUUUAAUAGUCCGCCUAAAACGAAUAAAUGAAGCCAGCCAGGGUUUUCAUCAAAAUUUGACACAAUCCAGUAAAUAAAAUUGACUAUUACGGGAUCUCAUAUUAAUAGUUGUUCUCGUAUCUACUAAAGAACUGAGAAGGGAUACUCCCUGGAGAAAUGCGAUGCUGCGUCGAGAAUAAACUAGCAAUCUUGUGUUUUAAAUCGGUAUAAAUGUUUCGACGGAGAGAACAGAUUCUUGGAACAUGUGUUCCAUUGUUCUUAAUAUUUUAAUUUUGUUACAACAGUACUAUUAAUAAUAAUAGCUUUAGUAUUUUGAGUUGUAAACAUUACUAACAUUACAUUAUUAAAAUUACAUCACCCACCCGUAGUAAUUCUACCGAAACAAUUAUUUCUUUCCUUUUUCCGCUAGACAGUGGUGGUAGGAUUUUACUGGUGGUAGGACGUCUUGUGAGUCCGCACGGGUAGGUACCACCACCCUGCCUAUUUCUGCCGUUAACCAGUAAUAAUGCGUUUCGGUUUGAAGGAUAGAGCAGCCAUUGUACUGUUAAAAGUGAGGCCUUGCAAAUCAUGUCUCAAGGUGGGUGGCGGUAUUUACGUUGUAGAUGUCUAUGGGGUCCGCGAACCACUUAACAAUAGGUGGGCUGUGACCUCGUCCACCUAUCUAAGCAAUAAAAAAUAAAAUAUCAAAGAUGGAAGGUCAGGACAUGAAUACCAGCACAGCCCUAGAGACGUAAAGAUGAGGUCGGAGUCUCAAUAGCGUGACAUAACAGCUAGCCCUCACAACGGAACAUUGCCGCGGUGGACUGCUUCAUGGCGGAAAAUUAUAAAUGUGUAACUUUAUUUUUAUUACACGCUAAUGUUUCUAAAGUGUUGAAGUCGUUCAUUAUUUAAAAACAUUAUUUUAAAUUAAAGUUUAUUUUUUAUGUUUGAGGGAUAGCUGGUGGCCCGGAGGCCUAUCCAGUUUCACCAGGACAGGUGGGCGAGCAAGGGCUCAGCCAGGAGGGGUGGGAUUUGCUAACAGAAAAUAAAAGAUCAUAGUCACUAUGUACUCAGUAUGUUUAAAAUAUUCCAUGAACUGACGUUUGUAAUAUGCUGUAUCAAAAUUGAAUGUCAAACAAUAAGGAUUUUUUGGCGGAAACGCGAGGAGUGAAGUUGUGUGAUUUGUUUUAUUUUGUCUAUUUAGUGUUUCUUCAGGUUUAAGUAUGUAAUAAUGGUCGUUUAUUAACUGUUUAAUAUCUGUGAAAGUGCACAAAUGUGGGAAAAUGAAACAAAGCCGCUGGACGUAACUUCUCGGGAUCCUCCAAAAAGUCCACUGAAAAAAUCUCAGUAAAUGACCACAAUUUUACUGAGAUUAUAUUUCAUCCCAUAUCAUCUCAUCUCAUUUCAUUUCACUCCAUAUUAUUAUUUUUUAUAAAAAUUAGAAUAUAAAUAAGAUCUGACUUAAAGGCCUUAGUUACCAGGUCAUGAAAUCCCUUACAAAACUCAAAUAAUAAUGACAUAACCCAUAGAUAAAACACAAUUUUUAUUAAAUAAGCGUAUAGACGGAGGCUCCGACGUAUUCAUUUUGCGCGGGGCACAGCUUAAGUAAUUAUGAACCCAAUCCGCACAUAUGGCACUCGGAGACACAAAUUUAACUUGAAUUAAAUAUGUACAUAGCAUUAUGCAAAUCCGUCCCCUCCGCGAGGGUAAACGAGCGACGGCCGAUAUUCAACCAAUGAAAUUUACGUUUUCCACACGAAAAAACACGACGCGACUGAGAAUCACGUAAUUUCACUAUUAGAAAUGUCGAGAUAGAGCAGCCCGCGUAUUACUUUGAAUAUUUUCAUAUUGAAAUUUAUUCUAAAGGUAUAUUUAAUUGAAUACUGACUUUCACGUGUAGUAGGACGUCUUGUGAGCCCGCACGGGUAGGUACCACCACCUUGUCUAUUUCUGCCGUGUAGCAGUAAUGCGUUUCGGCUUGAAAGGUUGUGAAAGGACAGCCGUUGUACUAUAAAAACUGAAAACUUAAAACUAUUAUCUCAAGGUAGGUGGCGGCAUUUACGUUGUAGAUAUCUUUGGGUUCCGGUAACCACUUAACAUAUGGUGGGUCGUGAGCAGGUGAGCCAGGACCACGCAAUAAAAAAAAAGAAUAAUAUGUAUGUAAGCGUAUUAAAUUAGAUUAUCAUAUUUUUGACUAUUUUAAGAUCGUAUGGUUUUGUUCCAGAAUCGGAUGCUCCCAGUUUGCUGCAGCCACCCUACGCACCGGACCCUUAAGGAUAAGCGUGGUUUGCGCACCGCAAUCUACUCAUCUCCAUCGGCAUCAAACAGCUGAUAUUUCUCAUGUUUUAUCACAUAAAAAAUUGUUAUAAUAAAUAUAAACUUUAAAAAUUGCCGGCUUACAAACAUUCAAACAUUUAUAAUAUCAAUUUGAAUUUGAAUUUCCAGUCCAAUUCUAGACGAGGAGCUGGGGGAAUGCGGACCGUCGCUAUCCACAUAGCUGUGCUCAAUUGGAAAGACAGCUGUCCCUGUCGACUUCUAUUCGGGAAGGCGUCAAAAACCACAGCGUGAGCUACGCCAUCGACGCUACAUUCAUUGCUGGCUACAUAGGAAACUGCUGUCCUGUUUCAUGGACCGCAGCGAACAUUACAAACUGAACCCAAACUAUUCGUUUAACCAAGCUCAGUACCUGGUAGUUUAACCAAAACAGACGGCUACAAGCCUUCAGAUUCUGAGACAUUAGAUCGUUGGAAGAACCAUACAGAUGCAAAGAGCUAAUAUCUGCAACUUGAAAAUCUUUACUUAAAACAAUUUAUGGAGAUAAAAAUUUAAUAAAAGGCCCACUUCAAUAACAACGCAAACAA